This 237-nucleotide ribosomal RNA is filed under the name uncultured bacterium. Its description in RNAcentral is "partial 16S ribosomal RNA". It matches the Rfam family "Bacterial small subunit ribosomal RNA", at positions 99 to 334 of the family's 1533-position model. The record is from RNAcentral.
CGAACGGGUGAGUAACGCGUGAGGAACCUGCCUCAAAGAGGGGGACAACAGUUGGAAACGACUGCUAAUACCGCAUAAGCCCACGGCCCGGCAUCGAGCAGAGGGAAAAGGAGUGAUCCGCUUUGAGAUGGCCUCGCGUCCGAUUAGCUAGUUGGUGAGGUAACGGCCCACCAAGGCGACGAUCGGUAGCCGGACUGAGAGGUUGAACGGCCACAUUGGGACUGAGACACGGCCCAG